RNAcentral lists this small nuclear RNA (20 nucleotides) under Arabidopsis thaliana (thale cress). RNAcentral describes it as "snRNA_14684". Lineage: Eukaryota; Viridiplantae; Streptophyta; Magnoliopsida; Brassicales; Brassicaceae. The record is from RNAcentral.
UCGCUUCUUCGAAUUCCAAA